Molecule: long non-coding RNA, 1957 nt
Organism: Felis catus (domestic cat)
Lineage: Eukaryota; Metazoa; Chordata; Mammalia; Carnivora; Felidae
Exons: 7
Source: RefSeq, a predicted model, not a curated record
UCUUGAAUAGGUCACUACUAACAGCAUCUUGGCUUGAUUCUCCCUGGACCUUCUAUGGAACCAUGGAAGUGUGUUCCAGAACUGCCUAAGGACAAAAGAGGUCAGAACUUAAUAACAGCAAUUCUCUUUCUACUCUAUAAAUAGUUGCCCACUGGGACAUUAACUCUCCCACACUCCCAGGUUGCAUAUAUGUGGCCAUAUUGGUUCCCACAAGUGUCCUGUGUCAGAGAAGCUCGGGACAGAAAGCAAAAAGAUCACUGGUACAGCUAAUGGGAGGUGCUGUCUGGUCACAUCUGUACAAAGCUGCUUGCCUCAGCAAUGAUUAAAUCAAAAGAUGAACUGAAAGAAUAGAAAAAAACCUGCAUGGCACGGUUAAUGGCAGCUACCUGCAAACCAAGGAGAGCAGUCUCAGAAGAAUUCAAACUUGUUGACAUCCUGAUCCUGGACAAUUAGCCUCCGGAAUGCAUCUCUCAAUUUAUUUCCUUUUCCAUGUUGCUAUCACUGGAGUUCAGGUCAUGAUACUAAUGGAAAACUUCAGCCUCUCUAGCUGAAUUGAAGCCCUCUGUAUUCUACCCCCAAGAAAAAGCAGCGCUGAUGGAGGUCAUGGUGAAGAAUAUUAUUAGGUCAUGGCGCUGAGAGGCUUCCAAAUUUUCUCACGUUCAUUGCUUCACCUGUGCUGGGAAGAAAAGCUGUAACUUUUGCUAUGUUCCUAAGAGGAGGUAUGCAUGCUCUCACUAAUGUGACAGGUGACCAACAGGCCACACUUUCUCUUUUUCCAGUAUGCUCCUGAGUUCAUCUUUCUUUUAAAGCAGUGCUGACCAAGUUGAGGUAUUACACAUAAUCAAUUGGCAUGUGGUUUGCACAUUUUUUUUUUGCACUGGAAGAAUGUGGACAUGAAUUCCUGACUAUCUCAGUGUGUAAAAUCCUCAACAUAUAAACCUACGUAAAGUGCAAUCAUCAAAUCACAGGUGUACUGCAUUGCUGCAGGAGCUGUAUAUAUGGACGUGAAGCACAUAUUAGUGCCAGGGGCAGUCAAGUACAAAGAGCACUAUAACACAGAGAGUACUCAGUGCUAUAAUAGAACAAAGAGCAAAGUCAUCCAGGAACAACACAUGAUGAAGAAACCAAGAGCAGAAUGGUUAAGUACCUUACAACCCCCCAUUUAGUAAGUGAAGGGGACAUAUUUGAAUGAACACAGGUAGCAUGUUCCAGAAACCUAUGGGGCAGCUUGAGAGGCAUCACUUCGAUUUCCCUCCAAGAAAGUUGGCUGUUUGGCCGCAAGAAACACAGUUGGCUGACAGUGCCUCAUUACAAUAUCUAAAUUUUUGAACCAAUGUUACACUCUUCCCAGGCUUUCCCCAGCCAAUGAGGAGCAUGACAGAGAUGCUGGAGUCUGGCAUUUCUACCUAUUGUGAGUCUGCUCUAUGGGUAAUUUUGCUCCAAAGCUCCUUUGGCCGGAUGAGAAUGUGACAGAAUUCUAUAUCAGUUUAAGACUUUCUUCUCUUUUCACAGAAGACAGAUCUGGAUUGCAUUCUGAAGCCUCUUCCUGCACACCCCCUCCCUCCCUAAUUAAACUUCUGCAUUCCUAAAUCCAGUUCAUGGUCUGUUUCCCAGAGACACAACUCAGACACAGUCAUUCUCAAUUACUCUGUGAUGAUGACUCCAAGAAAACACAGAAAAAAUGAAUUUGUGACUUAAUGAAAUUAACAAUGUGUUUUAUAUACUAUAUGCCAAACACUAUGCUAAAUGUUUUCUAUUUACAUUGUAUGUUCCUUAAGUGCUUAACAAACCUUAAAUGGUAUAUGUAUUUUUUUUCAGAAUUACAGAUGAAGAAAACUUCUAAAAGCUAAGAAAGUCACUCAAACCAAUAAACAAAACAGAAUUAAGAUUCACAUCCAUGUGUUCUUGAGUCCAUUAUGACACCAAUUUUAAAAUAAAAAAAAAAAUCUAUACUCUU